UCCCUCAAAGACGAUGAGGUAGAUAGGUUCGGGGUGGAAGCGUGGCGACACGUGCAGCUGACGAAUACUAAUCGAUCGAGGACUUAACCAA
RNAcentral lists this ribosomal RNA (91 nucleotides) under Psychrobacillus psychrotolerans. RNAcentral describes it as "Bacillus psychrotolerans Bacterial large subunit ribosomal RNA". It matches the Rfam family "Bacterial large subunit ribosomal RNA", at positions 2834 to 2925 of the family's 2925-position model. Lineage: Bacteria; Bacillati; Bacillota; Bacilli; Caryophanales; Bacillaceae. The record is from Rfam by way of RNAcentral.